CCGCCCCCACCCUUCAGGGCAACUUCAGGAGAACUGGGAAGAAGGUGGAGCCAGCGGACAUCGGAGGCUGCACGAAAGGAGAGAGGAGCUGUGGCCUGACCAG
RNAcentral lists this long non-coding RNA (103 nucleotides) under Phascolarctos cinereus (koala). Its description in RNAcentral is "lncRNA (ENSPCIG00000015453.2)". Lineage: Eukaryota; Metazoa; Chordata; Mammalia; Diprotodontia; Phascolarctidae. The record is from RNAcentral.